RNAcentral lists this long non-coding RNA (2484 nucleotides) under Triticum aestivum (bread wheat). Its description in RNAcentral is "long non-coding RNA (TAES_LNC025122)". The record is from RNAcentral. Lineage: Eukaryota; Viridiplantae; Streptophyta; Magnoliopsida; Poales; Poaceae.
AAACUCUGCUCGUUGUACUAAAUAUCUAUACUAGUAUCAGUCAGUUUGUGAGUAGCUGGUUUUUCUAUGUCUGGUGUUGAUGCGCUAGCUUGUUGUUUUUGUAUGGCUCAGAUUAUAUGCCCGAGAAACCCGGCGUCGACAAUAGUGGAGCUCUGCAUCCUCAUCUUUACAAGUAGUACAGAACCACCAUGGCUGGGCUGCUGAGCAGUGUUUUUGCUGGGUGUGCCUUUGGCGACCAUGGCGUGGAGACGACACCAUCCAACACGAGUUUGGUCAGCAAAGCCGCUCUGCCUCUAUUGCCGCUCACGCCCCCGAGCGCAUCCGGUUGGCACUUCUUCCACUCUGCCAUAGGUAAGACACUUCGGUUCCUCUCAACUGUUUUUAAUUAAGAUCUAUGUGUCCACGGCCAUCGAUCCAUGGUAGCAGUUGGUCAUUGGUUGAGUUCUGCGAACAUAGAAGUUUCACACUGCACGCUGAUUACCGCAACACAUGGAACUGAGUUGAUGCUCAGUAUUUCACAGUUGACACCUGAACCACUAAUCAUGGAUGAUUUGUUUCGGUAGUUAAUUGCUCUUUGUGAUGAAUUUGAUGUGCUGGAGUAUGCAUUCUAGAUGUUUGCUCUCUUGGAAAUGAGUGGUCCAUGGUGUUUAUCUGACUUGAACCUUUCUCGCUUAUAUAUUUUGUCUGUUUUGGGUUGUGUCAUUGAGAGAGACCUGACAUCGCGGUUUCUUUGAAUAUGACAGGACCUUCUAAAGGGAGGAAAACCACCCUCGAAGUCACAGGCUUUGGGAGGGAAGCCCUACACAUCUUGGUUCAGGUGAGUCCUUGAUCUCCCCUCUCUCUCUCUCUCUCUCUCUCUCUCUCUCUCUCUCUCUCUCUCUCUCUCUCUCUCUCUCUUGCUCUGAGAUGGUCUAACCAUCAAGCCGUUGAUUUAGUGUUUGGAUCUGUUAUUUAAUUGCAUGUCUGGUAGUUUCAAACACAAUGUUGUAUAGCCCUUUGUAAUUUCUGGUUGCCUAACUAAGCAGUCCAAGCAUGUAACUCUAAUUUGUGAUGGAUGUGACAUUCACUUUCUAGUGAAUUUGUGAUGCCGACCAAACGAGCUACGCUACUAAUCCUAGCUGAACAAGAAGGUCGGUUCAAUGUUGUUUGCUUGUACGAAUGAGUCCAAAUAGUUUGUGUUAAUUUGUUUGGACUUGGCGGGUUGCGCCUUUCUCCUGUUACAUGGUUUGAAAUGGCUCCUCCACCUUUCUUGGGCUAAUAAGUGUCUCAACUUUAGUGCAACUUUAUACUAAAGUACAAAGUUGAGACACUUAUUUUGGGACGGAGGGUGUAGUUAGAUUUCAUGGUCAAGAUUUUCAGAGUUAGCCGGAUAGCAAGCUAGCUGUGUUAUUGUUUUUCUUGUUGUAAGUUGAUAGCAUCACAUAUCCUAUUGUUGUUGUUCUAUCUUCUGAAGUAGAACAUGGGAGCGAGAUGUGUGUUGGUUUCUUCCUUAUCAUGUAUGUAUGCUAGCAUGCUUAGCUUGGCCUCCUAUGCUAUCAUGUAUGGUUGCCAUCUUAAUUUCCUUGGCCAAAUAUAUAAUGUCUAGCAAGCCUGUACUGCUAAUCAUGGUUGGUCUACUGGGAUGUUAUCUUAUUAUCGCUAGCUCAAUGGCCUAGUAUCUAUGGUUGGUCUACUGCAAAGCAUGCCAUUGUUUUUGUUGUCCCCUUGGUAGUAUAAGCCAAAACUUGGGGUGUGAGAUUGUCUAGUGCCUUUUUAGAUCAGUCACCAUAAAACAUUUAGUUUGUGAAGUUGAUGCUGCCAAAACUUGGAUUAUGUGAGGGUCCGUCGUUACUUUUGCUAGCUUAUGUGCAAUUGACGGGUGUCUUUCCUUUUGGGUUUUGAGCAUAGCAUGUUUUUAUCCUCUCCUUAUGGUAGUACCAGCCAACAGUGUGUGUGAGAUUGACUUUCUGGUGUCUUUUUUGAUCACUGGCUAUAGAACAUUUAGUUUGUGAAGUUUGUCUGGCCACUGAUUCUUUAACUUGUUGCCUGUGUAUUUGAAGCUCUGACUUGGAACUUUGUUCCUAUUGUCGUCAGGUUACGUGCCAUGGAAUGGACGGAUGAUGGUGAGCGACCACAAAUGGAUCUGGAAAAAUGCGCCUUGCUGGUCUAGAGAGUCCUUGGAAGUGGACGGUGGCCCUAUUGGUUGAAGGCAGGGGGAAUCGCUCGACGUAUCUCAACAAUCAUUAAGUCACAUAUAGGCCUGGUUGCCACUGGAUGGACCGAGAGGGGUCUGUAGAGAUAUCAAAAUCUUAUGGUCUAAGUGUCUGCGCUGAAUGGUGAUACAUGCUGAGAUACAAGAAGAUCCUGGCGAGCGAAUCUUGAAGAAUACUUUUCUCUCUUGUCGGCUCAGGUGUCUCGGGACUUUGUAAAAUUCCGAUGGGAUGGUGACAUAUGUUGGCCUUGUCCGAGGGAUUGUGGUAAAUUUCAGAUUGUAUUGUGUGGCAC